Siniperca chuatsi (mandarin fish) is the source of this 1202-nucleotide long non-coding RNA. RefSeq lists it as uncharacterized. Lineage: Eukaryota; Metazoa; Chordata; Actinopteri; Centrarchiformes; Sinipercidae. The transcript has 2 exons. The record is from RefSeq and is a predicted model, not a curated record.
UAACAUACUUAUCAGUGACUCAUUGUAAGAAGUAAAGUGUUGUAUUUAUUGUAAAUAUUAAAAGCUAGUCAGAAUUGGAUUAUAUAGAUACUAAUUGCAGACACAAACAUUCAUUCUUUUGUAGUGGCUGAGAGACUCUGCACCAUAAUCAGCAGCUCUUUCUUUCCAUGUGUGUCUUCACAUUGUUUUAAGAAGUCUAUGUAAAACUGUCCUUGCCACCAGCGGACCCUGUUUACUGUAAACUGAGCAACAGCGUCUUCUGGCCUGCAAGCCCGAGUUUCUGAUACCUGGAAAAGACUAGAAUAGAAUAGACAUCUUUAUUGGCAGAUAAAAGAGUCUGGAUGAAGCCGAGAGCACUUCAUAAACAGGAAGCGUGACUGCAGUCUCAUCUUUGAGCCACGUCUCUGUAAGGCAUAUUAAAUUGCUUCGUUUAAAGUCACUUUCGACAGACAUAAAAUCUGAUCAGAUGUUCCAUUUAUUUAAUAGUAUGAGACUGAGAAAAUCAGCAUCUUUUCACAUUUUUGAAGUUGGUAACUGUGGAGUCUAGGGAAGAUUUGAAAUUCCUAAAUGAAAACAAAUCAAACCUGUGAAAUACAACACACAUUGUUAUAUGUAUAUCCUUUUUAUGUUUGCAUUCACCGUGUCAUAUUUAAAUGAAAAACAUACGUUAAAUGACAUUUAUAACUGAAUGAAUUGUUUUUCAUUGUGAUAAGAAUUUUCCAUGCCACACCAAAAUCAAAACACAGCGCAGAAAACAAGGAUUUGUGUUGCAUAAUUUCACUGUUGUCCAGCUUAAACCUGCUUAGACAAAAUGCAAAGCGCUGUCAUUAGUUUUCAUGAAGAGGUGCAGGGGAGCUUAAAACAAUCAACCGUCCAAUCACAGUCUGGGGGCGGAGCUGACUGUACAUUUAGUGAUUGACUGACUGAAUUCUUGGUUUAAUGUGAAAGCCUGUCUGUCAUGGCUGCCAUCAGCUUGUGUCUACGACGAUGAUGAUAUGACAGUAGGUUGCUUUUCAUUCGGGCUUGAACAUCUCCAUCUCCAAAUAUACUGUACUGUCCUCUGCUGGACAACACUGAAAUGAUGCAAUGCGCCUCUUCACUUGUUGAAAAAACAAUUGUCAUUGAACGUGUUUUUCAUUUAAUUAUGGCACAGUAAAUGCAUUCAUAAAAAGGGAAUGCAAAUAAAAAGUUAUUUUACUUUA